This 500-nucleotide long non-coding RNA is filed under the name Glycine max (soybean). Its description in RNAcentral is "long non-coding RNA (GMAX_LNC004449)". Lineage: Eukaryota; Viridiplantae; Streptophyta; Magnoliopsida; Fabales; Fabaceae. The record is from RNAcentral.
CGCACUUGAUUCAAUCUCCUCGUAACUAUUUUGCUCCUUCACUGCACUUGAUUUUGCCUCCACCGCUAAAUCUGCGGCUUGCGAGUUCACCUGACUCCAAUUCGAGGAUAGCAACUCAGCAUAUUUUGACUUGUCAACUUUAACACUCUUGCCCUUUCUGAGGUUGCGAGAUCUACAAAAUCUGGAGUGGGUUUCAUUGGAUUUGGGUUUUGAAGAUUAAGAGGAUGGUUUUUACUAAGUAAACAAUGGAGUGAAAUCUAAUGUUGUCUCUGCUCGUCAAUGCAGUAGCACCGCCAGCAACAGGAUCGAUCUGUGAAAAGGAAGAGUCAUGUUAAUCCUAGAUUAGAGAAGAAAAAAAAAGCAGAGAUGAGAAAUUAACAAACCAGAGAGAGCAAUGGAACUGCAAAAGUGAUUGUGAACGUGACACUAAUGAGAGUGUGUGAGGGUCGAGCGAAAGUGUGAGGGAAGGUAUGAGAAAUGAGUGAACGAAAAUAACUGAG